AUUGAACGCUGGCGGCAUGCCUUACACAUGCAAGUCGAACGGCAGCACGGGUGCUUGCACCUGGUGGCGAGUGGCGAACGGGUGAGUAAUACAUCGGAACAUGUCCUGUAGUGGGGGAUAGCCCGGCGAAAGCCGGAUUAAUACCGCAUACGAACUACGGAUGAAAGCGGGGGCCCUUCGGGCCUCGCGCUAUAGGGUUGGCCGAUGGCUGAUUAGCUAGUUGGUGGGGUAAAGGCCUAACAAGGCGACGAUCAGUAGCUGGUCUGAGAGGACGACCAGCCACACUGGGACUGAGACACGGCCCAGACUCCUACGGGAGGCAGCAGUGGGGAAUUUUGGACAAUGGGCGAAAGCCUGAUCCAGCAAUGCCGCGUGUGUGAAGAAGGCCUUCGGGUUGUAAAGCACUUUUGUCCGGAAAGAAAUCCUUGGCCCUAAUACGGUCGGGGGAUGACGGUACCGGAAGAAUAAGCACCGGCUAACUACGUGC
This 487-nucleotide ribosomal RNA is filed under the name uncultured bacterium. Its description in RNAcentral is "partial 16S ribosomal RNA". It matches the Rfam family "Bacterial small subunit ribosomal RNA", at positions 30 to 508 of the family's 1533-position model. The record is from RNAcentral.